Populus euphratica (Euphrates poplar) is the source of this 392-nucleotide long non-coding RNA. RefSeq lists it as uncharacterized. Lineage: Eukaryota; Viridiplantae; Streptophyta; Magnoliopsida; Malpighiales; Salicaceae. The record is from RefSeq and is a predicted model, not a curated record. The transcript is spliced from 2 exons.
GAGUUGUAUAUUUUACGAAGCUGGAUUUACAAGCAAGAUAUCAUUAAGUAAGGGACAAUCUUUCUAAUAUUCAUAAGAUUGCUUUUCGUACUCCCAAUGGCCAUUAUGAAUACACUGUUAUGUCUUUUGGCCUAUGUAAUACACCUUCGACAUUUCAAGCCAUUAUGAACAUUAUCUUUCAACCUCACCUUAAAAAAUUCAUUCUAGUUUUCUUUGAUGAUAUCCUCAUCUAUAGUAUUACUUGGGAUAAACAUGUGGAACACAUUGCACAAACUCUGUAAAUUUUAAGACAACUUUAGUUUUUUGCUAAAGCUAGCAAAUGUGUUAUCGACCAACAAGAAUUGGAGUAUCUGGGGGCAUAUCAUUACACCUCAAGAAGUGAAAGUGGAUGA